RNAcentral lists this ribosomal RNA (301 nucleotides) under uncultured bacterium. RNAcentral's name for it is "partial 16S ribosomal RNA". It matches the Rfam family "Bacterial small subunit ribosomal RNA", at positions 509 to 807 of the family's 1533-position model. The record is from RNAcentral.
CAGUAGCCACGGUAAUACGUAGGGUGCAAGCGUUAAUCGGAAUUACUGGGCGUAAAGCGUGCGCAGGCGGUUUGUUAAGACAGAUGUGAAAUCCCCGGGCUCAACCUGGGAACUGCAUUUGUGACUGGCAAGCUAGAGUAUGGCAGAGGGGGGUGGAAUUCCGCGUGUAGCAGUGAAAUGCGUAGAUAUGCGGAGGAACACCGAUGGCGAAGGCAGCCCCCUGGGCCAAUACUGACGCUCAUGCACGAAAGCGUGGGGAGCAAACAGGAUUAGAUACCCGCGUAGUCCCUGUCUCUUAUAC